Molecule: non-coding RNA, 264 nt
Organism: Heterocephalus glaber (naked mole-rat)
Lineage: Eukaryota; Metazoa; Chordata; Mammalia; Rodentia; Bathyergidae
Source: RefSeq, a predicted model, not a curated record
CGGGGCGGGCGGCGGUCCCGAUCAGCUUCCAGAGUGUAGGCCAGGGCUGCAGAUGGACAGGGCAGUCAGCAGGCGCCAGAGCUAAGAAAGCAAGAUUAGAGGUCACCAGUGGGGAAACUGAGGCCCAGAGAGCAGAUGGGCAGGUGGCUCAGCCCAGUCUCGAACCCAGGUCUUGGGAUCUCCUUUCACCACGCCCCCCCUGCUUCCCUGACUUAUUUCCCUGUGCCUUCACCCAAUGUCAUCACAUAAAGACCUGGGCCUCAC